GUCUGCGUUAAACCAGCCAGGAGGCAGGCUCAGGAGAAGUGGAAGCCACGGCUUGAGCCCAGGUGGCCUGGCUGCAGAAUCCAACCUGCCGCCCGCUCUGCCCACAGCCCUUCUGCGGCAGCGCCUCUUGGGCCCUCUCCAGCCGGGCCUCGCUAAGUCAAGAGCAUCUUUGCCAGGCUGGGCUCAAAUGCACAAUAUUCCUAUCUCGGCCUCUGAGAGGUGCCAGCCUGCGCCACCACCCCGGGCUAAGACUCCCCACGGAGCAGCUGGGCGCGUCGUGGCUAAGACAGCAAAGAAAGUAGGGAGCAGGAGCCGAGAUUUAGAGGUGAAACCAGGAGUUCGUUUCUACAAGUGCCGCUGGUGAUCUGGAACACCUUACGGAAUGAAGAAGUCUGCAGCAAAGCACCACGGCCGCCCUGCAGGGCCUGCGGGGACACUCUUGGCCCUCCUUGCGUGGACAAGGGCCCCUGCUCUUUGAGCAGUCUACGCAGUAGCAAAGGCGGGGGUCUGAGGCAUGGGUCUCCCGGCCUCCAGCCGUGAGUGCUUAGGAAAUAGUGUCACAUCUCUGAGCCCUGCUAUGGUCAGCCGAGAAGCAGGGGCCGACUCCUGACUACAGGCCUGUCACAGGAGCUGAGCAGCCCUGAAUGUGAAAGACCACGCUCUGAACCCAAGGACCCUCUACCAUUGAAAUACAUCCCCAGCCUUUUCAGUCCUUUUAAAAAAUUUAUUUAUUUACUCAUUUAUUUUGACAGGCCUUGCUAAGUUACCUAGGUUAGCUUUGAACUUUUGGUCCUCCUGUCUCAGCCUCCAGAGUAGCUGAUAUUGCCAGUGUGCCGUGUGCGCCACCACACCCAGCAGCUGAACAGCUUUGCUCUGCCAUGUGCACUCCAUGCAGUGCUGCCUCAUCACGGGCCCAAAACAACGAAGCUGCCAACCAUGAACUGCACCCUUGCAAACUGUGAGCCAAAGUGAAACUUUCCCCUUUGUAAGUUAACUAUCUCAGGUAUUUUGAAACAGGAAUGGAAUGCUAACAACGCAAGGAUCCACCUCUCUCCCACUCCAUAGCCUUGACAGCUACCAUCACCUCGCUCUGUCUUCCAAGCAGAGCUGUGUCCCUCUCCUUCCUGUCAUCCCCUAGGCCUGCCUCACCACUGCUUUCUGUUUCAAGUCAACUCAUUCCUCCUCCAGGAAACUUUCCAAGGUAGCACCCAUCCUGUAUUGCAGUGACCCUGCCACUCUGUGAACUCUGGCUUCAUAAGAUUUGUUUCUGUGCUCCCAAAGGGAAUUUUUUAAAACUAUGUAAUGCUUUGCACAUUUUUCAAGUUGACUGCUAAGAUUUUUCAUCAGUUUUAAAUCAUUACAAGGAGUAUAAUUUCUUUUUUUUUUUUCCUUUUUUUUGGUCCCGGGGAUCAAACUAGGGACUUGCACUUGCAAGGCAGGCAGGAGAACCACCAAGCUAAAUCCACAGCCCCAAAGAGUAUAAUUUCUAAAGUGUUUUAGAUACUGCAACAUUUUGAAAUGAAACUAUUAAAGCAGAGCUGGGGAUUUAGCUCAGUGGCACUGUGCUUGCCUGGCAAGCACAAGGUCCUCAGUUCGAUCCCCUAUACAAAAAAAUUAAUGAAUAAAUAAAAUAAAUAAAUAAAACUAUUAAGG
This 1653-nucleotide long non-coding RNA is filed under the name Heterocephalus glaber (naked mole-rat). RNAcentral describes it as "lncRNA (ENSHGLG00000049615.1)". The record is from RNAcentral. Lineage: Eukaryota; Metazoa; Chordata; Mammalia; Rodentia; Bathyergidae.